RNAcentral lists this ribosomal RNA (1049 nucleotides) under uncultured bacterium. RNAcentral describes it as "bacterial SSU rRNA". It matches the Rfam family "Bacterial small subunit ribosomal RNA", at positions 43 to 1061 of the family's 1533-position model. The record is from RNAcentral.
CGUGCUUAACACAUGCAAGUCGUACGAGAACUCUUCUGCUUGCAGAAGAUAGUAAAGUGGCGCACGGGUGAGUAACGCGUGGGUAAUCUACCUCUAACUCGGGGAUAACAUCGCGAAAGUGAUGCUAAUACCGGAUGAUAUCUAAUUUGCUUCGGCAGUUUAGGUCAAGGGUGGCCUCUAUAUAUAAGCUACUGAUUGGAGAUGAGCCCGCGUACCAUUAGCUUGUUGGUAGGGUAAUGGCCUACCAAGGCAACGAUGGUUAGCUGGUCUGAGAGGAUGAUCAGCCACACUGGAACUGACACACGGUCCAGACUCCUACGGGAGGCAGCAGUGAGGAAUUUUGCGCAAUGGGGGAAACCCUGACGCAGCAACGCCGCGUGAGUGAUGAAGGCUUUCGGGUCGUAAAGCUCUGUCAAGUGGGAAGAACAAGCUUGAUGUUAAUACCAUCAUGAACUGACGGUACCACUGAAGGAAGCACCGGCUAACUCCGUGCCAGCAGCCGCGGUAAUACGGGGGGUGCAAGCGUUAUUCGGAAUCAUUGGGCGUAAAGAGCGCGUAGGCGGCCCUUUAAGUCAGAUGUGAAAUCCCGGGGCUUAACCCCGGAAGUGCAUUUGAAACUAUUGGGCUUGAGUAUGGGAGAGGGAAGUGGAAUUCCUGGUGUAGAGGUGAAAUUCGUAGAUAUCAGGAGGAACACCGGUGGCGAAGGCGGCUUCCUGGACCAAUACUGACGCUGAGGCGCGAAGGCGUGGGGAGCAAACAGGAUUAGAUACCCUGGUAGUCCACGCAGUAAACGUUGAACACUAGGUGUAGCGGGUAUUGACCCCUGCUGUGCCGCAGUUAACGCAUUAAGUGUUCCGCCUGGGGAGUACGACCGCAAGGUUAAAACUCAAAGGAAUUGACGGGGGCCCGCACAAGCGGUGGAGCAUGUGGUUUAAUUCGACGCAACGCGAAGAACCUUACCUGGAUUUGACAUCCCGGGAAUUCUUUCGAAAGAUAGAAGUGCCCUUCGGGGAACCCGGUGACAGGUGCUGCAUGGCUGUCGUCAGCUC